GACGAACGCUGGCGGCGUGCUUAACACAUGCAAUUCGAACGGAAAGGCCCCUUUGGGGGUACUCGAGUGGCGAACGGGUGAGUAACACGUGAGUAACCUGCCCUUGACUUCGGGAUAACUUCAGGAAACUGGGGCUAAUACCGGAUAGGAAUCCUUGCUGCAUGGUGGGGGUUGGAAAGCUUCGGCGGUUUUGGAUGGACUCGCGGCUUAUCAGCUUGUUGGUGGGGUAGUGGCUUACCAAGGCUUUGACGGGUAGCCGGCCUGAGAGGGCGACCGGCCACAUUGGGACUGAGAUACGGCCCAGACUCCUACGGGAGGCAGCAGUGGGGAAUAUUGCACAAUGGGCGGAAGCCUGAUGCAGCAACGCCGCGUGCGGGAUGACGGCCUUCGGGUUGUAAACCGCUUUCAGCAGGGGCGAAGCUUUUGUGACGGUACCUGCAGAAGAAGCACCGGCUAACUACGUG
RNAcentral lists this ribosomal RNA (464 nucleotides) under uncultured bacterium. RNAcentral's name for it is "partial 16S ribosomal RNA". It matches the Rfam family "Bacterial small subunit ribosomal RNA", at positions 28 to 507 of the family's 1533-position model. The record is from RNAcentral.